AUGAACGCUGGCGGCGUGCCUAAUACAUGCAAGUCGAGCGAACAGACGAGGAGCUUGCUCCUCUGACGUUAGCGGCGGACGGGUGAGUAACACGUGGAUAACCUACCUAUAAGACUGGGAUAACUUCGGGAAACCGGAGCUAAUACCGGAUAAUAUAUUGAACCGCAUGGUUCAAUAGUGAAAGACGGUUUUGCUGUCACUUAUAGAUGGAUCCGCGCCGCAUUAGCUAGUUGGUAAGGUAACGGCCUACCAAGGCGACGAUGCGUAGCCGACCUGAGAGGGUGAUCGGCCACACUGGAACUGAGACACGGUCCAGACUCCUACGGGAGGCAGCAGUAGGGAAUCUUCCGCAAUGGGCGAAAGCCUGACGGAGCAACGCCGCGUGAGUGAUGAAGGUCUUCGGAUCGUAAAACUCUGUUAUUAGGGAAGAACAAAUGUGUAAGUAACUAUGCACGUCUUGACGGUACCUAAUCAGAAAGCCACGGCUAACUACGUG
This 496-nucleotide ribosomal RNA is filed under the name uncultured bacterium. RNAcentral's name for it is "partial 16S ribosomal RNA". It matches the Rfam family "Bacterial small subunit ribosomal RNA", at positions 29 to 507 of the family's 1533-position model. The record is from RNAcentral.